GGAGAGCUCUGUGACUGCAGCCAUUCUGCUCCGAGGUCGACAAACACUGACACCACUCAGCUCAUAUACGCUCUACACCAACCCUCAUCAGCUGCUGCUCUUUAUCUGGAGCGGUCUAGAUUUCGGGGGACUGGCCUGGAGCCUGAGACUCUUCUGAUUGAGGCUGCUGCAUGUCAUGGAGCGCUCUAGAUUUCGGGGGACUGGCCCGGAGCUGGAGACUCUUCUGGUGAUGGU
Molecule: long non-coding RNA, 234 nt
Organism: Sander lucioperca (pikeperch)
Lineage: Eukaryota; Metazoa; Chordata; Actinopteri; Perciformes; Percidae
Exons: 3
Source: RefSeq, a predicted model, not a curated record